UGUAGAAUUCACUGUCAACACUGCUUUAGAUGAGUGUAAGUCAUGUAAACAAACAAAUCUACAUACAGUAACUAAACACUAGUUAUCUAUUUUAUUUGUCCAUUUGCAAUAUUGAUAAUUUUAGGAACAUUUGUGUUGGAUAAAAAGCGAGUUACAUCAGUUACUAACUCAACAUGCAGAUGCAGUAUAUCACAGAUAAAUCACAGAGGUUACUUGACUCUUGUCUGGAUGUUACAGGAACAGAUUAUGUUUGUCUGCUGUAGAGUGACUGAAGAAGGAAUGCUGCCAUCAAAGGAUUUGUGUUAUGAAAAUGUCUGCAGACUGGUGUGUGCACUGAGGAUGGAGAAGUCCACUGCAGCAUCCGGAAAUGGUCCAGAGACACGGAUGAGACGCUCCAUCACUCCAGCUCUUACUGUCUCAUCAGGACCAGAUGCUGCUGUGGUCUCUUCAUCCUCAGUGACCCCAGAGCAGCGAGAGCAUCUAGAGAAAGACCAAAAGACACUGAGGAUUUGAUUUUGGUUGUGUGGUUCAGAGAGCCGUCAUCAAGGUCUUCCUCAUCCUGUUGCUCAACGACAUCCCCGUUGAGAAGAGUGAGAUUGUGAAGCACAGCGCAGCAGAACUGUCUCAGCUGUGUUGAGAUGAUAG
This is a long non-coding RNA of Cyprinus carpio carpio, 645 nucleotides long. NCBI's taxonomy places the organism in Eukaryota, Metazoa, Chordata, Actinopteri, Cypriniformes, Cyprinidae. The record is from Ensembl.